AAAGCGUGCGCAGGCGGCCCGCGAGGUGUCACGUGAAAGCCCCGGGCUCAACCCGGGAGGGUCGUGGCAAACCGGCGGGCUUGAGGCCGGUAGAGGUGGGUGGAACUCCUGGUGGAGUGGUGAAAUGCGUAGAGAUCAGGAAGAACACCCGUGGCGAAGGCGGCCCACUGGGCCGGUACUGACGCUGAGGCACGAAGGCGUGGGGAGCGAACGGGAUUAGAUACCCCGGU
This 230-nucleotide ribosomal RNA is filed under the name uncultured bacterium. RNAcentral describes it as "partial 16S ribosomal RNA". It matches the Rfam family "Bacterial small subunit ribosomal RNA", at positions 562 to 791 of the family's 1533-position model. The record is from RNAcentral.